This 261-nucleotide ribosomal RNA is filed under the name uncultured bacterium. RNAcentral's name for it is "partial 16S ribosomal RNA". It matches the Rfam family "Bacterial small subunit ribosomal RNA", at positions 524 to 784 of the family's 1533-position model. The record is from RNAcentral.
UACGUAGGGUGCAAGCGUUGUCCGGAAUUAUUGGGCGUAAAGAGCUCGUAGGCGGUUUGUUGCGUCGGCUGUGAAAUCCCGAGGCUCAACCUCGGGUCUGCAGUCGAUACGAGCAAACUAGAGUGUUGCAGGGGAGACUGGAAUUCCUGGUGUAGCGGUGAAAUGCGCAGAUAUCAGGAGGAACACCAAUAGCGAAGGCAGCUCGCUGGGACGUUACUGACACUGAGGCGCGAAAGCGUGGGGAGCGAACAGGAUUAGAAC